RNAcentral lists this ribosomal RNA (253 nucleotides) under uncultured bacterium. Its description in RNAcentral is "partial 16S ribosomal RNA". It matches the Rfam family "Bacterial small subunit ribosomal RNA", at positions 524 to 776 of the family's 1533-position model. The record is from RNAcentral.
UACGUAGGUGGCAAGCGUUGUUCGGAAUUAUUGGGCGUAAAGGGCGCGUAGGCGGUUUGUUAAGUCGGCUGUGAAAGCCCCCGGCUCAACUGGGGAGGGUCACUCGAUACUGAUCGACUCGAAGGCGGGAGAGGGAAGCGGAAUUCCCGGUGUAGUGGUGAAAUGCGUAGAUAUCGGGAGGAACACCAGUGGCGAAGGCGGCUUCCUGGCCCGUUCUUGACGCUGAGGCGCGAAAGCUAGGGGAGCAAACGGG